UGCAAGUCGAACGGUGAAGCGAGAGCUUGCUCUCGUGGAUCAGUGGCGAACGGGUGAGUAACACGUGAGUAACCUGCCCCAGACUCUGGGAUAAGCCUUGGAAACGAGGUCUAAUACCGGAUACGAGACGAGAUCGCAUGGUCAUCGUCUGGAAAGAAUUUCGGUCUGGGAUGGACUCGCGGCCUAUCAGCUUGUUGGUGAGGUAAUGGCUCACCAAGGCGACGACGGGUAGCCGGCCUGAGAGGGCGACCGGCCACACUGGAACUGAGACACGGUCCAGACUCCUACGGGAGGCAGCAGUGGGGAAUAUUGCACAAUGGGCGCAAGCCUGAUGCAGCGACGCCGCGUGGGGGAUGAAGGCCUUCGGGUUGUAAACCCCUUUCAGCAGGGAAGAAGCGAAAGUGACGGUACCUGCAGAAGAAGCGCCGGCUAACUACGUGCCAGCAGCCGCGGUAAUACGUAGGGCGCAAGCGUUGUCCGGAAUUAUUGGGCGUAAAGAGCUCGUAGGCGGUCUGUCGCGUCUGCUGUGAAAACCCGAGGCUCAACCUCGGGCCUGCAGUGGGUACGGGCAGACUAGAGUGUGGUAGGGGAGACUGGAAUUCCUGGUGUAGCGGUGGAAUGCGCAGAUAUCAGGAGGAACACCAAUGGCGAAGGCAGGUCUCUGGGCCACUACUGACGCUGAGGAGCGAAAGCAUGGGGAGCGAACAGGAUUAGAUACCCUGGUAGUCCAUGCCGUAAACGGUGGGCACUAGAUGUGGGGCUCUUUCCAUGAGUUCCGCGUCGCAGCUAACGCAUUAAGUGCCCCGCCUGGGGAGUACGGCCGCAAGGCUAAAACUCAAAGGAAUUGACGGGGGCCCGCACAAGCGGCGGAGCAUGCGGAUUAAUUCGAUGCAACGCG
This 898-nucleotide ribosomal RNA is filed under the name Demequina sp. BR-26. RNAcentral describes it as "bacterial SSU rRNA". It matches the Rfam family "Bacterial small subunit ribosomal RNA", at positions 56 to 963 of the family's 1533-position model. The record is from RNAcentral. Lineage: Bacteria; Bacillati; Actinomycetota; Actinomycetes; Micrococcales; Demequinaceae.